Long non-coding RNA from Alosa sapidissima (American shad), 166 nucleotides. RefSeq lists it as uncharacterized. The record is from RefSeq and is a predicted model, not a curated record. The transcript has 3 exons. NCBI's taxonomy places the organism in Eukaryota, Metazoa, Chordata, Actinopteri, Clupeiformes, Clupeidae.
AAUGAGAGACGAGUAGUUGAAUAUUAAUUCGUGUUAACGUUUAUCAUGUACCAGACAUACCGUGUAUGCCUUACUUGUUUAGAGCCGUUUGCUAACGUUAUCAUUAUCAAUCCAGUUCAAUGGUGGUUCGUCAGCUACCAAACAGAAGUUUGUCUAUGUGUCUGGU